RNAcentral lists this ribosomal RNA (497 nucleotides) under uncultured bacterium. Its description in RNAcentral is "partial 16S ribosomal RNA". It matches the Rfam family "Bacterial small subunit ribosomal RNA", at positions 28 to 507 of the family's 1533-position model. The record is from RNAcentral.
GAUGAACGCUGGCGGCGUGCCUAAUACAUGCAAGUCGAGCGAACAGACGAGGAGCUUGCUCCUCUGACGUUAGCGGCGGACGGGUGAGUAACACGUGGAUAACCUACCUAUAAGACUGGGAUAACUUCGGGAAACCGGAGCUAAUACCGGAUAAUAUAUUGAACCGCAUGGUUCAAUAGUGAAAGACGGUUUUGCUGUCACUUAUAGAUGGAUCCGCGCCGCAUUAGCUAGUUGGUAAGGUAACGGCUUACCAAGGCGACGAUGCUUAGCCGACCUGAGAGGGUGAUCGGCCACACUGGAACAGAGACACGGUCCAGACUCCUACGGGAGGCAGCAGUAGGGAAUCUUCCGAAAUGGGCGAAAGCAUGACGGAGCAACGCCGCGUGAGUGAUGAAGGUCUUCGGAUCGUAAAACUCUGUUAUUAGGGAAGAACAAAUGUGUAAGUAACUAUGCACGUCUUGACGGUACCUAAUCAGAAAGCCACGGCUAACUACGUG